UGCAGUCGAGCGGCAGCGGAAGUAGCUUGCUACUUUGCCGGCGAGCGGCGGACGGGUGAGUAAUGUCUGGGAAACUGCCUGAUGGAGGGGGAUAACUACUGGAAACGGUAGCUAAUACCGCAUGACCUCGAAAGAGCAAAGUGGGGGAUCUUCGGACCUCACGCCAUCGGAUGUGCCCAGAUGGGAUUAGCUAGUAGGUGAGGUAAUGGCUCACCUAGGCGACGAUCCCUAGCUGGUCUGAGAGGAUGACCAGCCACACUGGAACUGAGACACGGUCCAGACUCCUACGGGAGGCAGCAGUGGGGAAUAUUGCACAAUGGGCGCAAGCCUGAUGCAGCCAUGCCGCGUGUGUGAAGAAGGCCUUAGGGUUGUAAAGCACUUUCAGCGAGGAGGAAGGCAUCACACUUAAUACGUGUGGUGAUUGACGUUACUCGCAGAAGAAGCACCGGCUAACUCCGUGCCAGCAGCCGCGGUAAUACGGAGGGUGCAAGCGUUAAUCGGAAUUACUGGGCGUAAAGCGCACGCAGGCGGUUUGUUAAGUCAGAUGUGAAAUCCCCGCGCUUAACGUGGGAACUGCAUUUGAAACUGGCAAGCUAGAGUCUUGUAGAGGGGGGUAGAAUUCCAGGUGUAGCGGUGAAAUGCGUAGAGAUCUGGAGGAAUACCGGUGGCGAAGGCGGCCCCCUGGACAAAGACUGACGCUCAGGUGCGAAAGCGUGGGGAGC
RNAcentral lists this ribosomal RNA (722 nucleotides) under Rahnella sp. V1B1-12. Its description in RNAcentral is "bacterial SSU rRNA". It matches the Rfam family "Bacterial small subunit ribosomal RNA", at positions 56 to 769 of the family's 1533-position model. The record is from RNAcentral. Lineage: Bacteria; Pseudomonadati; Pseudomonadota; Gammaproteobacteria; Enterobacterales; Yersiniaceae.